Planktothricoides sp. SR001 is the source of this 72-nucleotide non-coding RNA. NCBI's taxonomy places the organism in Bacteria, Bacillati, Cyanobacteriota, Cyanophyceae, Oscillatoriales, Oscillatoriaceae. The record is from Rfam.
GCUGGUGUAGCUCAGUGGUAGAGCACCCGCCUUGUAAGCGGGCGGCCAUCGGUUCAAAUCCGUUCACCAGCU